CAUGGUUGUCGUCAGCUCGUGUCGUGAGAUGUUGGGUUAAGUCCCGCAACGAGCGCAACCCCUAUUGUUAGUUGCCAUCAUUCAGUUGGGCACUCUAGCGAGACUGCCGGUAAUAAACCGGAGGAAGGUGGGGAUGACGUCAAAUCAUCAUGCCCCUUAUGACCUGGGCUACACACGUGCUACAAUGGUUGGUACAACGAGUUGCGAGUCGGUGACGGCGAGCUAAUCUCUUAAAGCCAAUCUCAGUUCGGAUUGUAGGCUGCAACUCGCCUACAUGAAGUCGGAAUCGCUAGUAAUCGCGGAUCAGCACGCCGCGGUCGAAUACGUUCCGGGCCUU
Molecule: ribosomal RNA, 337 nt
Filed under: uncultured Streptococcus sp.
Lineage: Bacteria; Bacillati; Bacillota; Bacilli; Lactobacillales; Streptococcaceae
Description: bacterial SSU rRNA
Rfam family: Bacterial small subunit ribosomal RNA
Source: RNAcentral